UACGUAGGUGGCAAGCGUUGUCCGGAUUUAUUGGGUUUAAAGGGUGCGUAGGUGGUCUAUUAAGUCAGUGCUGAAAUAUCCCGGCUUAACCGGGAGGGUGGCAUUGAUACUGAUGGACUUGAGUAAAGUUGAGGUAGGCGGAAUUGACGGUGUAGCGGUGAAAUGCUUAGAUAUCGUCAAGAACACCGAUAGUGAAGACAGCUUACUAGACUUCAACUGACGCUGAGGCACGAAAGUGUGGGGAUCAAACAGG
This 253-nucleotide ribosomal RNA is filed under the name uncultured bacterium. Its description in RNAcentral is "partial 16S ribosomal RNA". It matches the Rfam family "Bacterial small subunit ribosomal RNA", at positions 524 to 776 of the family's 1533-position model. The record is from RNAcentral.